AACGUAGGUUCCGAGCGUUAUCCGGAUUUACUGGGCGUAAAGCGCGUUCAGGCGGUUGGGCAAGUCGGGCAUGAAAUCUCUGGGCUCAACCUGGAGAGGUUGUCCGAUACUGCCGAACUGGAGGGCAGUAGAGGGUGGUGGAAUUCCGGGUGUAGUGGUGAAAUGCGUAGAGAUCCGGAGGAACACCAGUGGCGAAGGCGGGUCUCUGGACAGUUCCUGACGCUGAGGCACGAAGGUCAGGGGAGCAAACGGG
Molecule: ribosomal RNA, 253 nt
Filed under: uncultured bacterium
Lineage: Bacteria
Description: partial 16S ribosomal RNA
Rfam family: Bacterial small subunit ribosomal RNA
Source: RNAcentral